GCAGUAUUCUAACUGUGCUAAGGUAGCAUAAUCAUUAGUCUUUUAAUUGGAGACUGGUAUGAAUGGCUUAACGAGAAAUUAACUUUUUUUGUUAUAAAGAUUGAAUUUAAUUUUUUAGUGAAAAAGCUAAAAUUUUUCAGAAAGACGAGAAGACCCUAUAGAGUUUUAUGUUUUAAAAAAAUAAAUUUUUAUUAGAUUUUUAAAUUAUUUAUUUUUAUAAACAUUUUGUUGGGGCGACAUAAAGAUAAAUAAAACUCUUUAUAUUAAAAAUUUUUAUAAAAAUAUUUUUUGAUCCUUUAUAAGAGAUUAAAAGAAAAAAUUACCUUAGGGAUAACAGCGUAAUCUUUUUUAAGAGUUCUAAUCGACAAAAAGGUUUGCGACCUCGAUGUUGGACUAAAAUUUAGGCAGGGUGCAGCAGUUCUGCUUUAAGGUCUGUUCGACCUAUA
Molecule: ribosomal RNA, 446 nt
Filed under: Savignium sp. 1 MM-2014
Lineage: Eukaryota; Metazoa; Arthropoda; Thecostraca; Balanomorpha; Pyrgomatidae
Description: partial 16S ribosomal RNA
Rfam family: Bacterial large subunit ribosomal RNA
Source: RNAcentral